AGAGUUUGAUCAUGGCUCAGAACGAACGUUGGCGGCGUGGAUUAGGCAUGCAAGUCGAACGAAUCUCACCUGGGCAACUGGGUGAGGGAAGUGGCGAAAGGGGCAGUAAGGCGUGGGUAACCUGCCCCGGAGUUCGGAAUAGUCCCCCUAACGGGGGGGUAAUACCGAAUGCCGUGCGGGGGGGGCCUCCCCCUUGCACGAAAGCUCCGGCGCUCCGGGAGGGGCCCACGUAGUAUUAGCUAGUUGGUGGGGUAACGGCCCACCAAGGCCAAGAUGCUUAGCAGGUGUGAGAGCACGACCUGCGCCACUGGCACUGGGACACUGGCCAGACUCCUACGGGAGGCUGCAGUCGAGGAUCUUCGGCAAUGGGCGCAAGCCUGACCGAGCGACGCCGCGUGUGCGAUGAAGGCCUUCGGGUUGUAAAGCACUGUCGUGAGGGAGAAAGGCCCGCAAGGGCUUGAUCGACCUCAGGAGGAAGCACGGGCUAAGUUCGUGCCAGCAGCCGCGGUAAGACGAACCGUGCGAACGUUGUUCGGAAUCACUGGGCUUAAAGGGCGCGUAGGCGGGUUCUCAAGUCCGGGGUGAAAGCCCCCAGCUCAACUGGGGAAGUGCCUUGGAUACUGGGGAUCUCGAGGGAGGUAGGGGCGUGCGGAACUUCCGGUGGAGCGGUGAAAUGCGUAGAUAUCGGAAGGAACACCGGUGGCGAAAGCGGCGCGCUGGACCUCUUCUGACGCUGAGGCGCGAAAGCCAGGGGAGCAAACGGGAUUAGAUACCCUAGUAGUCC
This 784-nucleotide ribosomal RNA is filed under the name uncultured bacterium. RNAcentral's name for it is "bacterial SSU rRNA". It matches the Rfam family "Bacterial small subunit ribosomal RNA", at positions 8 to 796 of the family's 1533-position model. The record is from RNAcentral.